Molecule: ribosomal RNA, 389 nt
Filed under: uncultured bacterium
Lineage: Bacteria
Description: bacterial SSU rRNA
Rfam family: Bacterial small subunit ribosomal RNA
Source: RNAcentral
AUGAACGCUGGCGGCGCGCCUAAUACAUGCAAGUCGAGCGAGAAGACGUAGCAAUACGUUUGUAAAGCGGCGAACGGGUGAGGAAUACAUGGGUAACCUACCCUCGAGUGGGGGAAUAACUAGCCGAAAGGUUAGCUAAUACCGCGUACGCUCCUUGGACUUCGGUUCAGGGAGGAAAGCGAUACCGUGGGUAUCGCGCUCUUGGUUGGGCUCAUGUCCUAUCAGCUUGUUGGUGAGGUAACGGCUCACCAAGGCUUCGACGGGUAGCUGGUCUGAGAGGACGAUCAGCCACACUGGCACUGCGACACGGGCCAGACUCCUACGGGAGGCAGCAGUAAGGAAUAUUGCGCAAUGGGCGAAAGCCUGACGCAGCGACGCCGCGUGGGGGA